CAAGUCGACGGAAUCCAUGGUGUAGCAAUACACCGGAAGAUUUAGUGGCGAACGGGUGAGGAUCACGUGAGAAACGUGCCCCAGACUCUGGGAUAACAAUUGGAAACGAUUGCUAAUACCGGAUGACGUCGGAGAAUCGCAUGAUUCACUGACGAAAGAUAUUUCGGUUUGGGAGCGUCUCGCGGCCUAUCAGCUUGUUGGUGGGGUAAUGGCCUACCAAGGCAACGACGGGUAGCUGGUCUGAGAGGAUGAUCAGCCACACUGGGACUGAGACACGGCCCAGACUCCUACGGGAGGCAGCAGUGGGGAAUCUUGCGCAAUGGGCGAAAGCCUGACGCAGCAACGCCGCGUGCGGGAUGAAGGCCUUCGGGCUGUAAACCGCUUUCAGCAGGAACGAAAAUGACGGUACCUGCAGAAGAAGGAGCGGCCAACUACGUGCCAGCAGCCGCGGUGACACGUAGGCUCCAAGCGUUGUCCGGAUUUAUUGGGCGUAAAGAGCUCGUAGGCGGUUGAGUAAGUCGGGUGUGAAAACUCUGGGCUUAACCCGGAGACGCCAUCCGAUACUGCUCUGACUAGAGUUCAGGAGGGGAGUGGGGAAUUCCUAGUGUAGCGGUGAAAUGCGCAGAUAUUAGGAGGAACACCGGUGGCGAAGGCGCCACUCUGGACUGAAACUGACGCUGAGGAGCGAAAGCAUGGGUAGCAAACAGGAUUAGAUACCCUGGUAGUCCAUGCCGUAAACGGUGGGCACUAGGUGUGGGUUCCAACUAACGGGAUCCGCGCCGUCGCUAACGCAUUAAGUGCCCCGCCUGGGGAGUACGGUCGCAAGACUAAAACUCAAAGGAAUUGACGG
This 850-nucleotide ribosomal RNA is filed under the name uncultured bacterium. RNAcentral's name for it is "bacterial SSU rRNA". It matches the Rfam family "Bacterial small subunit ribosomal RNA", at positions 58 to 916 of the family's 1533-position model. The record is from RNAcentral.